AACAGGGGUGCCUUAGGGCUGAGACGGUGCGCGGCAGCGAAAAGCUGGUCCGGCAGCCGAACCCUCGAACCUGAUAUGGAUUAUACCAGCGUAGGGAGUUUUU
RNAcentral lists this non-coding RNA (103 nucleotides) under bovine gut metagenome. The record is from RNAcentral.